RNAcentral lists this ribosomal RNA (494 nucleotides) under uncultured soil bacterium. Its description in RNAcentral is "bacterial SSU rRNA". It matches the Rfam family "Bacterial small subunit ribosomal RNA", at positions 26 to 518 of the family's 1533-position model. The record is from RNAcentral.
AGAGUGAACGCUGGCGGUAGGCCUAACACAUGCAAGUCGAACGGCAGCACAGGAGAGCUUGCUCUCUGGGUGGCGAGUGGCGGACGGGUGAGGAAUACAUCGGAAUCUACCUUUUCGUGGGGGAUAACGUAGGGAAACUUACGCUAAUACCGCAUAAGACCUUCGGGUGAAAGCCGGGGACCUUCGGGCCUGGCGCGGAUAGAUGAGCCGAUGUCGGAUUAGCUAGUUGGCGGGUAAAGCCCACCAAGGCGACGAUCCGUAGCUGGUCUGAGAGGAUGAUCAGCCACACUGGAACUGAGACACGGUCCAGACUCCUACGGGAGGCAGCAGUGGGAAUAUUGGACAAUGGGCGCAAGCCUGAUCCAGCCAUACCGCGUGGGUGAAGAAGGCCUUCGGGUUGUAAAGCCCUUUGUUGGAAAGAAAUCUUGCGGAUAAUACCCGGCAGGAUGACGGUACCAAAGAAUAAGCACCGGCUAACUCGUGCCAGCAGCCGC